AGAGCCCCGAUCUUCUCUGCCAGCACCUGAAUUUCUUUGUUUGGCGGUUGUACAUCGUACUGACCAAACUGCUCAUUCAGCACAGAGAACUGAUCUUCUUCUUUAUCCUCCAUGGCCCCAAAGAAAGGAGGAAAUUGAUUAUCCUUCAGAUUGCCUGCAGGACCUAGCCCUCCGCCUGCAGCAAAACCAAAACCUCCACCGUUGUUGAUCACCACACCAGCAGUAGUCAUCUUCCUUCUGGGAUCACCACCAUCCCUA
Molecule: long non-coding RNA, 258 nt
Filed under: Lathyrus oleraceus (garden pea)
Lineage: Eukaryota; Viridiplantae; Streptophyta; Magnoliopsida; Fabales; Fabaceae
Description: Pisum sativum (pea) long non-coding RNA (PSAT_LNC005125)
Source: RNAcentral